AUGGACGUGGUGCAAGUCGGCGAUGAGGAGGUGCAAGUCGGCAAUGAGGAGGUGCAGCCGGCGCCGACCCUGGAGCUAAACCUCCUCGGCGCUGUCGGUGCUGAGGCGAACGCCGUGGCGGAGGCGGAGAAGGGAAAGGCCAAGUCGAGUGAGGCGGCCGGGCCUUCGUCGGUGGUGGCAGCCGCCGGCGGCGAGAAGCGCCGCGUGUUCAAGUGCAACUACUGCCCGCGCAAGUUCUACACGUCGCAGGCGCUGGGUGGCCACCAGAACGCGCACAAGCGCGAGCGCUCCGUCGCCAAGGGCGUCGCUGCGGGGCGGGGCGCCGGUCCUGGCGGCCCACUCGUGCCACACCACCUUCGCUUUCCCAACGCCUGGCCCUAUUCCGCCACCGGCAGGUCGUUCCUCGGCGUCGCGGCGCCGUUCUACGGGAUGCACAUGCACCACAACCUCCCCGGGUGGGCCCCGGCGGCCCAGCCGUCCCUCGCCGGGCUCACCCGUCACGCCGGCACCGACCGCCCGAUGUACCCGCUGGCGGAGGCCUACGGCUUUGGCGCGUCGCCCAGGGCCCCCAUCCCGGCGGCCUCCCCUCGCGCGCCGUCGAUGACCGCGAUCCAGUGGGGUGGUGGCAGCGGCAGUGGCAGUGGCAAUGGCGGCGAUCAUAGCGUUGAUGAAGCGAAGCAAGAAGAGGAGGAGAUCGCCAACACGGUAGACUUGACUCUCAAGCUCUAG
RNAcentral lists this ribosomal RNA (729 nucleotides) under Triticum aestivum (bread wheat). Its description in RNAcentral is "partial small subunit ribosomal RNA". Lineage: Eukaryota; Viridiplantae; Streptophyta; Magnoliopsida; Poales; Poaceae. The record is from RNAcentral.